AAACACGGACCAAGGAGUCUAACAUGUGCGCGAGUCAUUGGGUUGACACUAAACCUAAAGGCGCAAUGAAAGUGAAGGUCCCGCCUUGUGCGGACCGAGGGAAGAUGGGCCGCGCUGCUGCGCGGCUCCGCAUUCCCGGGGCGUCUCGUUCUCACUGCGAGUUGAGGCGCACCCAGAGCGUACACGUUGGGACCCGAAAGAUGGUGAACUAUGCCUGGCCAGGACGAAGUCAGGGGAAACCCUGAUGGAGGUCCGUAGCGAUUCUGACGUGCAAAUCGAUCGUCGGAGCUGGGUAUAGGGC
This 301-nucleotide ribosomal RNA is filed under the name Ephippiger ephippiger (European bushcricket). Its description in RNAcentral is "eukaryotic LSU rRNA". It matches the Rfam family "Eukaryotic large subunit ribosomal RNA", at positions 657 to 923 of the family's 3401-position model. Lineage: Eukaryota; Metazoa; Arthropoda; Insecta; Orthoptera; Tettigoniidae. The record is from RNAcentral.